RNAcentral lists this ribosomal RNA (429 nucleotides) under Verrucomicrobiota bacterium. RNAcentral describes it as "Verrucomicrobia bacterium partial 16S ribosomal RNA". It matches the Rfam family "Bacterial small subunit ribosomal RNA", at positions 355 to 776 of the family's 1533-position model. The record is from RNAcentral. Lineage: Bacteria; Pseudomonadati; Verrucomicrobiota.
UAGGGAAUCUUCGGCAAUGGGGGGAACCCUCACCGAGCAACGCCGCGUGAGUGAAGAAGGUUUUCGGAUCGUAAAGCUCUGUUGUUAAGGAAGAACGAGUGUGAGAAUGGAAAGUUCAUGCUGUGACGGUACUUAACCAGAAAGGGACGGCUAACUACGUGCCAGCAGCCGCGGUAAUACGUAGGUCCCGAGCGUUGUCCGGAUUUAUUGGGCGUAAAGCGAGCGCAGGCGGUUAGAAAAGUCUGAAGUGAAAGGCAGUGGCUCAACCAUUGUAGGCUUUGUAAACUGUUUAACUUGAGUGCAGAAGGGGAGAGUGGAAUUCCAUGUGUAGCGGUGAAAUGCGUAGAUAUAUGGAGGAACACCGGUGGCGAAAGCGGCUCUCUGGUCUGUAACUGACGCUGAGGCUCGAAAGCGUGGGGAGCGAACAGG